UCGAAAGGGCCACCAGUCUACCAUCUCUACCUCUCCCAAGAUCCCUCACUGGAAAUCAACUCAAGCCUAACCCCAGCAGAGGAACUCGGAGGAGAAGUGAUAGUGCUCAGGAUGAAAACUACUGAUGAUGUAGGACACGAGACAUUCCUGCUUCUUCUCAGCUUGGCCAAGGUGGGGACCAAGCAAUUGGCCAGGAGAAAUCAGCCCUGACCGAAGGGUUCUGGCUGGGCAUCUGGAGGGACAAGUCCAUCAUUUCCCCAUCAUACAGGCCAUGUUCGGUGUAGGAGGGAGAAACCUAGGACGCAAAGACGCUAUCCCUUCCACCGCCGCCACCAGCGUGUGCCUAGCCUUCCUAGCUGGUUCAACAAACAAGGGCUGAAACUUGACCUCAAGGAAGCACUCGGUCUCUCAACUAUAAUCCCAAUCCUGACUAACGUUUCUUUCAACACUAAAUCACAGCUAACGGUCAACUUUCACAGGGAGAAGGGACUCAAAAGGACUAGACAGGAGGUGGGGGAAACGUUGUUUCCCCUACCAAGAAGAUUUUAUACAGAAAAGAGAAAUGGUUUUUGUGCACACACGAAGCACUUCCCAGCCAAGCUCUCCAUCAAUCACUGUGACUCCAUAUUUAAACGUACGACUCAAGACCAGUGAAACCAUUUCUGGCUUCAUGUCUGACUUCCCAAAAUGUAGACCACAUCUGCAGGCAGCUGGAGGACUGGGCCAAGAGAAGCCUUUCGGGAGAUGUCACUGUGGGAAAAAAAAAAAUAAGGACUACACUCUGUGUAUCUUCCAGGAGGCAAAGGGUAACCCCAGCGUGCAUGCACCGCCCUCAAAGAAGCAGGCUGCCGGGCCUCUGACAUUUGCUCGGUUCUCAAGAAACUGCAGUUAGAAGAAAAGGAAGUAGUGUGAACUUUUCACCUUUUAUCUUGAUUCUCUGAAGAGGAGUUCUGUAGGAUUGUAGCAUUCUCAAGACAAAACAAAUCACCGGCAGUUACCGAUCGAGGCAUGUCUUCCUUUAGGAUCUAAUGGGGGCCUUUGUAAGAAGAACCCACACAGUAGCCUCCUCCCAUAAAACAAUCCUCACCCCAUGGUUGUUGGAAAGUAAUAGGUUCCUUGGGGACAUACAAACUCAAAGGACGGGCAAGCACCUUUUUUCCUUGCUUCACUUCUUACGGUAAUGACUUCCAUCAAACAGAA
Long non-coding RNA from Peromyscus leucopus (white-footed mouse), 1200 nucleotides. RefSeq lists it as uncharacterized. NCBI's taxonomy places the organism in Eukaryota, Metazoa, Chordata, Mammalia, Rodentia, Cricetidae. The record is from RefSeq and is a predicted model, not a curated record. The transcript is spliced from 2 exons.